ACGCAAGAAGAAGAACAAC
RNAcentral lists this small RNA (19 nucleotides) under Arabidopsis thaliana (thale cress). RNAcentral's name for it is "ATSL002270". The record is from RNAcentral. Lineage: Eukaryota; Viridiplantae; Streptophyta; Magnoliopsida; Brassicales; Brassicaceae.